AUAUCAGUCGAGCGACUGAUUAGAAGCUUGCUUCUAUGACGUUAGCGGCGGACGGGUGAGUAACACGUGGGGCAACCUGCCUGUAAGACUGGGAUAACUCCGGGAAACCGGAGCUAAUACCGGAUAACAUUUUCUCUUGCAUAAGAGAAAAUUGAAAGAUGGUUUCGGCUAUCACUUACAGAUGGGCCCGCGGUGCAUUAGCUAGUUGGUGAGGUAACGGCUCACCAAGGCAACCGAUGCAUAGCCGACCUGAGAGGGUGAUCGGCCACACUGGGACUGAGACACGGCCCAGACUCCUACGGGAGGCAGCAGUGGGGA
This 318-nucleotide ribosomal RNA is filed under the name Priestia flexa. Its description in RNAcentral is "bacterial SSU rRNA". It matches the Rfam family "Bacterial small subunit ribosomal RNA", at positions 55 to 360 of the family's 1533-position model. The record is from RNAcentral. Lineage: Bacteria; Bacillati; Bacillota; Bacilli; Caryophanales; Bacillaceae.